AACGAACGCUGGCGGCAGGCCUAACACAUGCAAGUCGAGCGAGGACUUCGGUUCUAGCGGCGGACGGGUGCGUAACGCGUGGGAAUGUGCCCUUCUCUACGGAAUAACUCUGGGAAACUGGGGGUAAUACCGUAUACUCCCUACUGGGGAAAGAUUUAUCGGAGAAGGAUCGGCCCGCGUUGGAUUAGGUAGUUGGUGGGGUAAUGGCCUACCAAGGCGACGAUCCAUAGCUGGUUUGAGAGGAUGAUCAGCCACACUGGGACUGAGACACGGCCCAGACUCCUACGGGAGGCAGCAGUGGGGAAUCUUAGACAAUGGGGGCAACCCUGAUCCAGCCAUGCCGCGUGAGUGAUGAAGGCCUUAGGGUUGUAAAGCUCUUUUAGCUGGGAAGAUAAUGACGGUACCGGGAGAAGAAGCCCCGGCUAACUCCGUG
This 433-nucleotide ribosomal RNA is filed under the name uncultured bacterium. Its description in RNAcentral is "partial 16S ribosomal RNA". It matches the Rfam family "Bacterial small subunit ribosomal RNA", at positions 29 to 507 of the family's 1533-position model. The record is from RNAcentral.